AAGGAUCAUUAAAGAGUAAGGGUGCUCAGCGCCCGACCUCCAACCCUUUGUUGUUAAAACUACCUUGUUGCUUUGGCGGGACCGCUCGGUCUCGAGCCGCUGGGGAUUCGUCCCAGGCGAGCGCCCGCCAGAGUUAAACCAAACUCUUGUUAUUUAACCGGUCGUCUGAGUUAAAAUUUUGAAUAAAUCAAAACUUUCAACAACGGAUCUCUUGGUUCUCGCAUCGAUGAAGAACGCAGCGAAAUGCGAUAAGUAAUGUGAAUUGCAGAAUUCAGUGAAUCAUCGAAUCUUUGAACGCACAUUGCGCCCCUUGGUAUUCCGAGGGGCAUGCCUGUUCGAGCGUCAUUACACCACUCAAGCUAUGCUUGGUAUUGGGUGCCGUCCUUAGUUGGGCGCGCCUUAAAGACCUCGGCGAGGCCUCACCGGCUUUAGGCGUAGUAGAAUUUAUUCGAACGUCUGUCAAAGGAGAGGACUUCUGCCGACUGAAACCUUUAUUUUUCUAGGUUGACCUCGGAUCAGGUAGGGAUACCCGCUGAACUUAA
This 542-nucleotide ribosomal RNA is filed under the name Aureobasidium sp. DTO 305-C8. RNAcentral's name for it is "eukaryotic LSU rRNA". The stretch from base 192 to 345 matches the Rfam family "5.8S ribosomal RNA". Lineage: Eukaryota; Fungi; Ascomycota; Dothideomycetes; Dothideales; Saccotheciaceae. RNAcentral also lists the same sequence under 1 other name. The record is from RNAcentral.